UACACACACACACACGCAGCUUUUCUUUCUUCUCUCCCGACCGUCCCUCUCUCUCUUGUGUUUCAAAUUCCGGCCACCCAUAGCCCUCACGCGCCAGCCACCAAGGAAGCCCGCCACCUCGCGAGCUUGGCCGCCAAUUUUCACGGCCAGCCGCCGCCGGACGCGCGCCGAUCGGGCCGGAGAAGCCGCCGGCCGCCGGAUUUUCUCUCUCCUCUUUUCUUGUGUUUUCCGGCCAGCCCACUCCCAAUUGAGCCUCCUAUCCCCCUAUUUUGGGUCCUCUGAAUCCAAAAAUGGCCUCCAAUCCCAGAAAUUCGAAGCGGUUUGCGAGAUAUGGGGAAGUGAACACCGGCCGAAACUUUCCGACCAAAUUCUGGCCACCUCCGGCGGAAUUGGGGUCGAUGGAGACCGGAUUUGUGAUCCUCGUCCCACGAGCUUCGAUCCGGAGCACCGGUGAGUUGUAGAAUUGAUCCCGUGGUGGAUCAUGGGUUAAUUGCGUGCUCCAGGUCCAGGUUGGAGACGUUGAUUGUCCGGGGCGAGCCCGACGUCUCAGUUCGUUGCCGAAGGUUCAAGAAGUUUUUCUUCCCUUUUUCCUCUCUAUUUUGUAUUACAUUCUUAUCCGUCAUUUUAUAGAUUCCACAUUUGUUGUAUAAUGCUCUGUAUACUGUAUUGUUGUUCUUAUGCACUGGGUUGCUACUGUUGUUUUAUUUUGAAGUGAUGCAAUUUGUGG
Molecule: long non-coding RNA, 727 nt
Organism: Ziziphus jujuba (common jujube)
Lineage: Eukaryota; Viridiplantae; Streptophyta; Magnoliopsida; Rosales; Rhamnaceae
Exons: 3
Source: RefSeq, a predicted model, not a curated record